GCUGUGAAAUACAAACUUUGUUGACAUAAAUUAACUUUACUACUAAAUAUCUUCUCUAUCCGAAGACUCUGCUAAUGUUUUUCUACACGUUAACCUCAAUUUUCUUAGUGUAAACAUUCUGCUGUAAUGGUUGAUGCCCAGGUGUAAAUAUUCUGCUGGAAUUGCUGAUCAUGCCUUUCAACCUAAAGCCUAGGGAGAGACAGAGACAGAAUUGCAAGUGGAUUGAAACCAAAAGAUUGAUUACUUUGUACGAGUAAAGAUGUCUAUUCAUGAAGGGCCAUUCCAUGGAUUGGAGAGGAAUGCACUGAAGAUAAAAGACAAACUGGUGGGUGGUGGUCAUUACUAGUCUUUUCUCCUUGAGGGCUCCUUUCCUAGUUCCAAACACGGCUCAGCUAAGAACAAGAAUAGGUCCUUUCAGGAGCAUCAGUGCAGAUCAUCAUAAUCUGCUACAAUAUGCAGAUGUCUAUUCAUGAAGGGCCAUUCCAUGGAUUGGAGAGGAAUGCACUGAAGAUAAAAGACAAACUGGUGGGUGGUGGUCAUUACUAGUCUUUUCUCCUUGAGGGCUCCUUUCCUAGUUCCAAACACGGCUCAGCUAAGAACAAGAAUAGGUCCUUUCAGGAGCAUCAGUGCAGAUCAUCAUAAUCUGCUACAAUAUGCAGAUGUCUAUUCAUGAAGGGCCAUUCCAUGGAUUGGAGAGGAAUGCACUGAAGAUAAAAGACAAACUGGUGGGUGGUGGUCAUUACUAGUCUUUUCUCCUUGAGGGCUCCUUUCCUAGUUCCAAACACGGCUCAGCUAAGAACAAGAAUAGGUAAUCAAUUUGAAGUCUUCCAAAUCUUGAACAUCUGUUGUUUCUUAUGUCUGCUGAGGAAUUUCCUAACACUGGCUGGAAAAUGUGGUAACCACCCUGAGAAGACGCGUAGGUAAGAACACCGGGGUAGACUGAGAAGGAGGAAACCAUUGUACCGCAUCAGCCAUGACAUGGAAACCAUUUAGGCCCCUGGUCCCCAUCAUGUCUAGUCCCCAUUUCGUUGCAGAAAAGUCUGGAAUUUAAGCCUAGCCAUUCAUUAUU
Vitis riparia (riverbank grape) is the source of this 1069-nucleotide long non-coding RNA. RefSeq lists it as uncharacterized. NCBI's taxonomy places the organism in Eukaryota, Viridiplantae, Streptophyta, Magnoliopsida, Vitales, Vitaceae. The transcript has 4 exons. The record is from RefSeq and is a predicted model, not a curated record.